Molecule: ribosomal RNA, 503 nt
Filed under: uncultured bacterium
Lineage: Bacteria
Description: partial 16S ribosomal RNA
Rfam family: Bacterial small subunit ribosomal RNA
Source: RNAcentral
AUUGAACGCUGGCGGCAGGCUUAACACAUGCAAGUCGAGCGGGGUGAUGGUGCUUGCACUAUCCCUUAGCGGCGGACGGGUGAGUAAUGCUUAGGAAUCUGCCUAUUAGUGGGGGACAACAUCCCGAAAGGGAUGCUAAUACCGCAUACGUCCUACGGGAGAAAGCAGGGGAUCACUUGUGACCUUGCCCUAAUAGAUGAGCCUAGGUCGGAUUAGCUAGUCGGGGGGGUAAAGGCCUACCAAGGCGACGAUCUGUAGCGGGUCUGAGAGGAUGAUCCGCCACACUGGGACUGAGACACGGCCCAGACUCCUACGGGAGGCAGCAGUGGGGAAUAUUGGACAAUGGGGGGAACCCUGAUCCAGCCGUGCCGCGUGUGUGAAGAAGGCCUUAUGGUUGUAAAGCACUUUAAGCGAGGAGGAGGCUCUUUUGGUUAAUACCCAAGAUGAGUGGACGUUACUCGCAGAAUAAGCACCGGCUAACUCUGUGCCAGCCGCCGCCGUAA